This 455-nucleotide ribosomal RNA is filed under the name uncultured Desulfobulbus sp. Its description in RNAcentral is "bacterial SSU rRNA". It matches the Rfam family "Bacterial small subunit ribosomal RNA", at positions 933 to 1382 of the family's 1533-position model. The record is from RNAcentral. Lineage: Bacteria; Pseudomonadati; Thermodesulfobacteriota; Desulfobulbia; Desulfobulbales; Desulfobulbaceae.
UGGAGUAUGUGGUUUAAUUCGAUGCAACGCGAAGAACCUUACCUGGUCUUGACAUCCCGGAGACCCAUAGGAAACUAGGGGGUGCUUCCAUCUGGAAGAAUCUGGAGACAGGUGCUGCAUGGCUGUCGUCAGCUCGUGUCGUGAGAUGUUGGGUUAAGUCCCGCAACGAGCGCAACCCUUGCCUUUAGUUGCCAGCAGUUCGGCUGGGCACUCUAAAGGGACUGCCGGUGUUAAACCGGAGGAAGGUGGGGAUGACGUCAAGUCCUCAUGGCCUUUAUGACCAGGGCUACACACGUACUACAAUGGCCGAUACAAAGGGCAGCGACACUGCGAGGUGAAGCCAAUCCCGUAAAAUCGGUCUCAGUCCGGAUUGGAGUCUGCAACUCGACUCCAUGAAGUUGGAAUCGCUAGUAAUCGUGGAUCAGCAUGCCACGGUGAAUACGUUCCCGGGCCUU